This 820-nucleotide ribosomal RNA is filed under the name bacterium 2207. RNAcentral's name for it is "bacterial SSU rRNA". It matches the Rfam family "Bacterial small subunit ribosomal RNA", at positions 103 to 908 of the family's 1533-position model. The record is from RNAcentral.
CUGGUGAGUAACACGNGGGAAACCUGCCCANAANCGGGGGAUAACACCUGGAAACAGAUGCUAAUACCGCAUAACAACUUGGACCGCAUGGUCCGAGUUUGAAAGAUGGCUUCGGCUAUCACUUUUGGAUGGUCCCGCGGCGUAUUAGCUAGAUGGUGGGGUAACGGCUCACCAUGGCAAUGAUACGUAGCCNACCUGAGAGGGUAAUCGGCCACAUUGGGACUGAGACACGGCCCAAACUCCUACGGGAGGCAGCAGUAGGGAAUCUUCCACAAUGGACGAAAGUCUGAUGGAGCAACGCCGCGUGAGUGAAGAAGGGUUUCGGCUCGUAAAACUCUGUUGUUAAAGAAGAACAUAUCUGAGAGUAACUGUUCAGGUAUUGACGGUAUUUAACCAGAAAGCCACGGCUAACUACGUGCCAGCAGCCGCGGUAAUACGUAGGUGGCAAGCGUUGUCCGGAUUUAUUGGGCGUAAAGCGAGCGCAGGCGGUUUUUUAAGUCUGAUGUGAAAGCCUUCGGCUCAACCGAAGAAGUGCAUCGGAAACUGGGAAACUUGAGUGCAGAAGAGGACAGUGGAACUCCAUGUGUAGCGGUGAAAUGCGUAGAUAUAUGGAAGAACACCAGUGGCGAAGGCGGCUGUCUGGUCUGUAACUGACGCUGAGGCUCGAAAGUAUGGGUAGCAAACAGGAUUAGAUACCCUGGUAGUCCAUACCGUAAACGAUGANUGCUAAGUGUUGGAGGGUUUCCGCCCUUCAGUGCUGCAGCUAACGCAUUAAGCAUUCCGCCUGGGGAGUACGGCCGCAAGGCUGAAACUCAAAGGA